This 253-nucleotide ribosomal RNA is filed under the name uncultured bacterium. Its description in RNAcentral is "partial 16S ribosomal RNA". It matches the Rfam family "Bacterial small subunit ribosomal RNA", at positions 524 to 776 of the family's 1533-position model. The record is from RNAcentral.
UACGGAGGGUGCGAGCGUUGUCCGGAAUCACUGGGCGUAAAGAGCGCGCAGGCGGUCGUUCAAGUCGAGUGUGAAAGCCCCCGGCUCAACUGGGGAGGGUCACUCGAUACUGAUCGACUUGAAGGCGGGAGAGGGAAGCGGAAUUCCCGGUGUAGUGGUGAAAUGCGUAGAUAUCGGGAGGAACACCAGUGGCGAAGGCGGCUUUCUGGCCCGUUCUUGACGCUGAGGCGCGAAAGCUAGGGUAGCAAACGGG